Molecule: ribosomal RNA, 448 nt
Filed under: uncultured bacterium
Lineage: Bacteria
Description: partial 16S ribosomal RNA
Rfam family: Bacterial small subunit ribosomal RNA
Source: RNAcentral
AACGAACGCUGGCGGCAUGCCUAACACAUGCAAGUCGAACGAGAUCUUCGGGUCUAGUGGCGCACGGGUGCGUAACGCGUGGGAAUCUGCCCUUUGGUUCGGAAUAACAGUUGGAAACGACUGCUAAUACCGGAUGAUGACGAAAGUCCAAAGAUUUAUCGCCAGAGGAUGAGCCCGCGUAGGAUUAGCUAAUUGGUUUGGUAAAGGCGCACCAAGGCGACGAUCCUUGGCUGGUCUGAGAGGAUGAUCAGCCACACUGGAACUGAGACACGGCCCAAACCCUUAGGGAGGCAGCAGUGGGGAAUAUUGGACAAUGGGCGAAAGCCUGAUCCAGCAAUGCCGCGUGAGUGAUGAAGGCCUUAGGGUUGUAAAGCUCUUUUACCCGGGAUGAUAAUGACAGUACCGGGAGAAUAAGCUCCGGCUAACUCCGUGCCAGCAGCCGCCGUAA